Molecule: long non-coding RNA, 2087 nt
Organism: Haplochromis burtoni (Burton's mouthbrooder)
Lineage: Eukaryota; Metazoa; Chordata; Actinopteri; Cichliformes; Cichlidae
Exons: 3
Source: RefSeq, a predicted model, not a curated record
GCUAAGCAGGGAAGAUAAGGGAGAGGGAGAAGAGAAAAGUGCGACCGCCUUCGUCAAGAGCCAAAGAGAAAUAUCUCACUUACAGCACUGGUGAGUGGGAGUGGGAAGGUCUUCCUAAACACCUGCUCCUGCAGUCUGCCCGGGCUGGCAGCACCCAGCAGAAGCAUUGAUAGGUGUCCUGUUCCUGCAGAUGAGCAGACUGACAUGACGUGUGCAUCAUCUACAGGUUGAGACGUGUGGUCUUCAGCACUCGUGGAGGCGGUGGAUGACCCAGAUCUCCUUCCUCUGGGUCCUGGGGGGCUUUGUUGUGGCUUCUUACCCUCUUUACAACCUGUUAAAUCUGGCACAUUACACAUGGAAACCAAAGAAAGUGGACUGAGCCGGCGGUGAGGAGACCCCCCAGUGUUUACCUCUCCUCAGCUGAUGAAACACUCCUUAAACACUCCUGCACCGCAGCAAUUUCCUAAUGUUGUAAACCUCAACAUCUGGCAAUAAACCCCAUUCUGAUUCUGAUUCUGAUUAAGCAGCUUCCCAGGUCAACGCGUCACUGUUAGCGGCUGCUCUCCUCCAUGAUGCUCUGGUGAUGUUGGCUUGGUUAUAUUUUAGUGAACCGGAAAAGACAAGACCCCCGAGGAUAUGUUCAUCUUUAGAGCAACAUGCGCUGCCUCUGAACGCUCCACGGAGCAGCUUCUUCAGGAGGGUUUCUCCAUCGAUUUUAACGCAUUCAAGAAGACAAAGAAGAAGCCGAAGAGAUAAACUACACGUCUUAUCAAUGAGAUAAUUUACUAUUUCCCGCCAUAGGACUGUGACUUCUCUUCCACAGGUAUUGAAAGUGAAUACUUGCUGACUGGUCGAUCGCGUCUGUCGUCCCGUAUCCAUGCUGAUGAUCAGAAUAAUCUGAAUCACUGCUGCAAACUCUUCAGUGCUCGAUGGUGAAAUGAAGGAAGCUGCAGGCUGUCUGUGCCUCUCUGUUACUCGCAGCGAUGUUAUGUUCCCUCAGCUGUGCUCCCGCCUUCUUUUAAGCGUUCUUCUUCUGCAGCUUUUAUUUGUGGUUGGCAAACAAAACAAUGGUUUAUUACUGCCACCCACUGGUGUGCAGUGUGGACUCAAAAAGACAAAGUCAGACCAAACAAAGGCGUCUGUAUUAAAAGUGACCUGAUGGCUUUCACUGCCUCAGUUCCUUUAAAGUAGAUCACAAAGCUUCAUUUUCACGUCAGUCACUGUGAUACAACCUGUUCUAUGAUCUCAUCUCCCUCAUCAUCUCCACCAGUUACUAUUUCCUCAGUGGUGUUUUCCUUUUGUGAAUAAUCUGUCCAGGUCUGAGUGCUGACGUCUCCUGUCUCAGUGACAGAGAUGAAGGCCAUAAGUAGGCAGAAAAUGUAGGAACGGGAGGAAGAACGGGAAGGAUGGCGGUUUUACAAAAUCCAAAGAAAACCGGAGAAACGAGGAAGGAAGAGGAGACAGUCAUAUUAGCCUUGGACACUGCUUCAAAUGGCAGCACUGCACCAUUUCAUCAUUUGCCAACUGCCAAUAAAAUAAGCAGUUGUGUUGUGUGGUGACACAACUGUCAUGUGAGUAACAGAAGCACAGAAACCCUGCAGCUCAUACCCAACAGAGAAAGGUGCUGUGUUUGCUGAGAGGCUUAUAAAAGUAUUCACUUUCAAGGAGAUGAUGACUUUGGCAGCAGCUGGAAGAAGGAAAAACAAAACUUUGGUGUGAUCUCAGCAUAUGUAACAACAACAACAAACUUUAUUUAUAGAGCACAUUUACAAACCAGUGGUGCACCAAAGUGCUUAACAUGCAAGAGGGUAAGAUGAAGUAACGGGAAGGAUGAAGCUGUGGCAAAGUACCAAAACAUGCUAGCAGGUAGAAUGGCAUUAAAUAACAUUGAUUCAUGUUUGUGGCUGUAAUGUGACAAAAUGUCAUGGUCCUGGGUCGAGCGACCCAGUGUUUGAGUUUCAUGUAUCUUUUGUAUUCAUUUGCACCAGCUUAGUUCACCUAGUUAAUUUCUAGAUUGCUGUUUAGUCUUGUUGUCUCCCCCUGUACUAAGUCUCCCUGGUUCAUGCGUCAUGUCUGCGUGGUUAUAU